RNAcentral lists this ribosomal RNA (400 nucleotides) under uncultured bacterium. Its description in RNAcentral is "bacterial SSU rRNA". It matches the Rfam family "Bacterial small subunit ribosomal RNA", at positions 355 to 747 of the family's 1533-position model. The record is from RNAcentral.
UGGGGAAUAUUGGACAAUGGGCGAAAGCCUGAUCCAGCCAUGCCGCGUGUGUGAAGAAGGCCUUCGGGUUGUAAAGCACUUUAAGCGAGGAGGAAGGUUCGCUGGCUAAUAUCCAGCGGAAUUGACGUUACUCGCAGAAUAAGCACCGGCUAACUCUGUGCCAGCAGCCGCGGUAAUACAGAGGGUGCAAGCGUUAAUCGGAAUUACUGGGCGUAAAGCGCGCGUAGGCGGUUGUGUAAGUUGGAGGUGAAAUCCCCGGGCUUAACCUGGGCACUGCCUUCAAAACUGCACGGCUAGAGUAUGGGAGAGGAAGGUAGAAUUCCAGGUGUAGCGGUGAAAUGCGUAGAGAUCUGGAGGAAUACCGAUGGCGAAGGCAGCCUUCUGGCCUAAUACUGACGCU